AGUCGACGGAGAUAUUCGCUGAUGAAGUACUUCGGUAAUGAAUCUUGGAUAUCUUAGUGGCGGACGGGUGAGUAACGCGUGAGCAACCUGCCUUUCAGAGGGGGAUAACGUUUGGAAACGAACGCUAAUACCGCAUGACAUUAUCUUAUCGCAUGGUAGGAUAAUCAAAGGAGCAAUCCGCUGAAAGAUGGGCUCGCGUCCGAUUAGGUAGUUGGUGGGGUAACGGCCCACCAAGCCGACGAUCGGUAGCCGGACUGAGAGGUUGGACGGCCACAUUGGGACUGAGACACGGCCCAGACUCCUACGGGAGGCAGCAGUAAGGGAUAUUGGUCAAUGGGGGAAACCCUGAACCAGCAACGCCGCGUGAGGGAAGACGGUUUUCGGAUUGUAAACCUCUGUCCUCUGUGAAGAUGAUGACGGUAGCAGAGGAGGAAGCUCCGGCUAACUACGUGCCAGCAGCCGCGGUAAUACGUAGGGAGCGAGCGUUGUCCGGAUUUACUGGGUGUAAAGGGUGCGUAGGCGGCUUGGCAAGUCAGUAGUGAAAUCCAUGGGCUUAACCCAUGAACUGCUAUUGAAACUGUCGAGCUUGAGUGAAGUAGAGGUAGGCGGAAUUCCCGGUGUAGCGGUGAAAUGCGUAGAGAUCGGGAGGAACACCAGUGGCGAAGGCGGCCUACUGGGCUUUAACUGACGCUGAGGCACGAAAGCGUGGGUAGCAAACAGGAUUAGAUACCCUGGUAGUCCACGCUGUAAACGAUGAUUACUAGGUGUGGGUGGACUGACCCCAUCCGUGCCGGAGUUAACACAAUAAGUAAUCCACCUGGGGAGUACGGCCGCAAGGCUGAAACUCAAAGGAAUUGACGGGGGCCCGCACAAGCA
This 876-nucleotide ribosomal RNA is filed under the name uncultured bacterium. RNAcentral's name for it is "bacterial SSU rRNA". It matches the Rfam family "Bacterial small subunit ribosomal RNA", at positions 60 to 931 of the family's 1533-position model. The record is from RNAcentral.